Stegastes partitus (bicolor damselfish) is the source of this 481-nucleotide long non-coding RNA. RefSeq lists it as uncharacterized. Lineage: Eukaryota; Metazoa; Chordata; Actinopteri; Pomacentridae. The record is from RefSeq and is a predicted model, not a curated record. The transcript is spliced from 2 exons.
GACUGUUUUUUGGCUGCCCAUGGUGUCAACCUUAACGUACAUCAUGCUCUGAAGCCAAUGCGACUGAUCGGCAGAGUAUCAGAAUUGAGAAACUUCGUGGAGAUAUUCCUGCCUACACUUGGAAAUGUUAUCAUCAUCCUUGUCGCCUACCUCGGUUUUGCUGUCGUAGCCCUGACGUGGACUGGGCACCUGCUUCUUAGGAAGCGAGCCGGACACAUGUAGCUCCAGCCACGUCGCUGGCAUGACUUCCAGUGAUUUCUUUUUUGUAGAUAGUUUCUUUUUUUUUUUCUUCUUCUUCUUCAUGAUAUCAGUUGUGUCAUUAAGUUAGGACACAACACAUUUGUUUUUUUCAUUUAUAAUUCAUUCUAAAUGUAUUCUCUUGUUUUCUACUUCUUGCGUUUUCAGUACAUCCUGUCAAUUUCACUUCAAUCUUGUAAAUUUGUAAACUAUUUUGAUUUAAUAAAUGAAAAAAAAAACAUGA